This 387-nucleotide ribosomal RNA is filed under the name uncultured bacterium. RNAcentral describes it as "bacterial SSU rRNA". It matches the Rfam family "Bacterial small subunit ribosomal RNA", at positions 28 to 416 of the family's 1533-position model. The record is from RNAcentral.
GACGAACGCUGGCAGCGUGCUUAACACAUGCAAGUCGAGCGGUAAGGCCCUUUCGGGGGUACACGAGCGGCGAACGGGUGAGUAACACGUGGGUGACCUGCCCUCAGCUCUGGGAUAAGCCUGGGAAACUGGGUCUAAUACUGGAUAUGACUCCACGGUGCAUGUCGUGGGGUGGAAAGCCUUGUGCGGCUGAGGAUGGGCCCGCGGCCUAUCAGCUUGUUGGUGGGGNGAUGGCCUACCAAGGCGACGACGGGUAGCCGGCCUGAGAGGGCGACCGGCCACACUGGGACUGAGACACGGCCCAGACUCCUACGGGAGGCAGCAGUGGGGAAUCUUGCGCAAUGGGCGAAAGCCUGACGCAGCGACGCCGCGUGAGGGAUGACGGCC